AACGAACGCUGGCGGCAUGCCUAACACAUGCAAGUCGAACGAGACCUUCGGGUCUAGUGGCGCACGGGUGCGUAACGCGUGGGAACCUGCCCUUAGGUUCGGAAUAACUCCCCGAAAGGGGUGCUAAUACCGGAUAAUGUCUUAGGACCAAAGAUUUAUCGCCUUUGGAUGGGCCCGCGUUGGAUUAGCUAGUUGGUAGGGUAAAAGCCUACCAAGGCGACGAUCCAUAGCUGGUCUGAGAGGAUGAUCAGCCACACUGGGACUGAGACACGGCCCAGACUCCUACGGGAGGCAGCAGUGGGGAAUAUUGGACAAUGGGCGAAAGCCUGAUCCAGCAAUGCCGCGUGAGUGAUGAAGGCCUUAGGGUUGUAAAGCUCUUUUACCCGGGAUGAUAAUGACAGUACCGGGAGAAUAAGCUCCGGCUAACUCCGU
This 432-nucleotide ribosomal RNA is filed under the name uncultured bacterium. RNAcentral's name for it is "partial 16S ribosomal RNA". It matches the Rfam family "Bacterial small subunit ribosomal RNA", at positions 29 to 506 of the family's 1533-position model. The record is from RNAcentral.